This 3333-nucleotide ribosomal RNA is filed under the name Triticum aestivum (bread wheat). RNAcentral's name for it is "partial small subunit ribosomal RNA". Lineage: Eukaryota; Viridiplantae; Streptophyta; Magnoliopsida; Poales; Poaceae. The record is from RNAcentral.
AUGACUUCGGUCAUGGGGUCUUCGUCCCAGAAGACUCCGGUCCCGCUGUCUUCUUCCCACGAGACUCCGGUCCCGCCAUCUUCUUCCCACGAGACUCCGGUCCUGCCAUUUUCUUCCGACGAGACUCCGGUCCCGCCGUCUUCUUCCCAUGAGACUCCGAUCCCGCCGUCUUCUUCCCACGAGACUCCGGAGGCUAGUUGCCCGGAUGAUGGUAGCGAGGACACCUUUUCAGAUGAUAGCUACAAUGAGACGAGCAGAAUAAUGCUAGGACUGUGCAUGUCUGCUCUAGAGCACGUACUCGAGGGGGCACAUGGCCACUGCACUACACGCAGAGUCGCGGUGCACUUCACCGCCACAGCCUUUGCUGCUCCAGCGGCGGAGGGCCAGGCUGCAGUGUUCCUCCACGGCUCCACCCACUACCGCAUGCGACCCACUGCGGCAUGCGAGCUGCAGAUGCACGUGCAUGAGAGCUGCAUGCAAUACGCCCGCGAGCUGCACACACAUGCGGCCCCUGGAGAUGGGAGGGGAGCUUCUUGCAUGCCAUUGGAGCGGUCAGAGAGGAACAACAACCGUCCAUUGCCGGCAUUGGGAGGAGGGCCCUAUGGUAUCCAUACUAGGAGGGAGCAACGUGUAGAUGGGACGGAGGCGCCGGCAUGUGGCCAAGCAAGGGGUUGGCCUGAGCUCGAGGCAGAGGAGAGGAGGGGAGUGCACGCGGCUGGGAGGCCUGCAACAAGCGUCACCAAUGCCGGCGAGGUCAUGGAGGAGAUGGGAUGCAGGUCAUCAUCGGCGGUCCGGUGGUCGGGGCGGCAGAGUUCGUGGCAAGAGAGCGGGCGGGGCUCUACCAAACUGCACACAGGGAUGGAGGAGAGGCGAGGUGGACGAUGUCUGAAGCCUCGAGCUCUCCUGGAUCUCGUACUGCAUGCCAUCGGGGGGCGGACUGCGCAUGCACUGCCUCAUGGAUCUGGCGUUGGGGCGGAUCCGAUGCUGGCGGAUCAGACCCGGCGAGGGCGUCAUGGAUCUGGCGUUGGGGUGACUCCCCAUGGAUCUAAUGCCCGUCAGGCGAUGAGGUGGCGGAUGAUGGCUGGCGUGCCGUUCGGGGAUGUCACGGCGCCAGCCAUCCAGCACACCGGCGCUGGUGCGGCCAAUAGCUGUGGAGGAGGCUGGAGGGCGGACUCGGUCGGGAGGCAUAUGGGGGAGGGGCGGCGCCGGGGGCUAGGAGGAAGGUGGGGGAGGGAGGUGGCGGCUCAUGUGGAGGAGGUGACGCCGGAUCCAGGCUGUCGCGGCUCCGGGGCGAUGGCCAUGACGCGGAUCCGGUGGCAGCCGGGGGGGCGCGAGACGAGGAGGAAGGCGAGGGGGCUAGGUGGAAGACCAUCGCGGCUCCAGGCCGGUGGCCAUGGGGCGGAUCCGGUGGCAGCCUGGGCGAAGGAAUGGAGGAAGGUGAGGGGGAGGGGGCGUGUCGGGAAGAAGGGAGGGCUCCCCCGACACCGCAGCACCAAUGGUGAGGCCGUGCGCUGCGCCGCGUGCCUUUGGAGUGACAACCGGGCCAUGCGGAUCUCAGUCAUGUCGCCAACGUCGGGUUGUGGCUCAUCGAUCCCAUCUAGAUGCGGGGUAGGAGACGUGAGUGGCGGGGUGGUCGGCUGCCCGAUAGUUGGGCGCGCGAUCCGAACCACCAUCGUGCGUUGUGCAUUUGGUGCGCCCGCUUCCGCGCGUGCCACACUCGAGCGCUCGCGCCCCAGUCUCUCGGCCGCGCCACCUUUGCCACGCACGCGCCGCCGCCGGCGAACUGGCCCGUUGGACGCCCGCGCCGGCACCCCCUCACCCCUUCCUACAGCCGACCACUCCAUCGUCACCGCCGCCGCCGGCGCAACUCCUAGCGCGGGGAGCUUUGGCUUCGCCCCCACCGGAGUUCCCUCGAGCACCGGAUCGCGCGGCCUCUUCAUGCCGUUGCGGAUGACCUCGACGGCGGGUGGCGUCACAUCGGCGCCCGCCGUACCACGCGCCCCCUCUCGGAGCUCCCAAACGCGGCGCGACCAAAGAAGGGCAAGGUUUCCGGUAAGAAGAACAAGGCGGCGGACGGCUCCGGCUCCUCCAAGCAGUCGAGGAAGAAGCUUGCAGGGCGUGCGACGGGCGCGGCGGCUACCGAAGCGCCAGCGGGCUCACUUGUUGAGCCGGCAGCCGACAGGCACAAUGUCUUUGUGGAAAUGCCCGAAAGAUAGCUUAUUUGCAUUGUUCUACAUACUUUGUAGUGUCAACGAUGAUGCAUACAUGUCAACUAUGGGUCUUGGCUCCAACAAUUCGCAUUGGUCUCAAACCAAUGACAUGCAUUUCAAAAACCAUGAGUUUGAGGUGGAAGAGGAUGGUGAGAGCAUUGUCGACGCACCGAAAGGAAGAGGAGGCAAAUACACCAACGACGAAGACGUCUUGCUAUGCAAAACUUGGUUGGACGUGUCGAGGGAUCCAUCCGUUGGAGGUGAUCAAAGUAGAGAUGCUUAUUGGCUCCGGAUGAAAGAACACUUUGAUCUACACAACGUGAGUGGAAUUGACCGCUCCGAUCAAUCUCUUCGCUCUUGGUGGUCGACAAUCAACACAGAUUGUCAACAAUGGGCGGCAGCACAAAAGGCGGUUGACAAGUUGAACCCAAGUGUCACUAAUGAUGAAGAUAGGUUAAAUAUUGCACAAAACUUGUUCAAAGGAGAGGAGAAGAGGACCAAGAAGGGGAAGAUCAAGAAAGGAAGGCCAUUUACCUUGCCUCAUUGCUAUGAAGUAUUGAAGGAUGAUGAGAAGUGGAAGAAGCGAAAGAAAAGAAGUCAACGAGGUGAUGAAGAUGGCAAGGAACCAAGAUGUCGCGACCGAGAGGAGGUUGGCAACAGAGGAGAUAAAGAUGGCAUUGGAGGAUGGAAGGCGGGCAUGGAGGAGCGAUCUAAAUUGUUGGAAUGGGAGAAGCACUUGUUCUUCUUGGACACAUCUAUUUUCAAUGAUGCGCAAAAGGAGUAUGUCAAUCUUGCUCGUGAAGAAGUCCUGAUCCAAAAAAGAGCCAUGAUUCCUGCAAUGGGUGGCGGUGGCCUUGGCGGCAUGUGUAGCUUUGGAGCUAGCAUGGGCAGCAUGGGUGCCAUGGGUGGCUUUGGAGCUACCAUGGAGACCAUGGGAGGCAUGGGUGGCUUCGGAGCACCUUCGGGCGGCAUGACCGAUGUGGGUGGCAUGAGUUUUGCGUCUCUCAUUGGAGGCAUGGGUGCACCUCCGGGCGCCGGUGCGGCACUUUCGCAUGAAGAUGCCGUUGACGAUCUUGCCAACACCUUCCGAGCUUCUCGUGAUGAGGAUGCGGCGCGACAAUGA